This 366-nucleotide long non-coding RNA is filed under the name Bos indicus x Bos taurus (hybrid cattle). Its description in RNAcentral is "lncRNA (ENSBIXG00000029058.1)". The record is from RNAcentral. Lineage: Eukaryota; Metazoa; Chordata; Mammalia; Artiodactyla; Bovidae.
CGGCUGCGUCCUCUGUGGAGGCGUGGCCGGAACGGAGGUGGUGUUGUCACCUGUCAAGCUCAGGUGUUCCCUUGGCCUGGCUUCUCGGGCUCCUGUUAAGUUAUGGCAGGUGACCUUUGAGGUGGCCGGGCAUCCCCCCUCCCCCCACGGCGGCACUGGUCCCAUCUCAAGGGACACCCUCCCUCCUAAAGGGCUGUUCUGGACACCUGAGUGAGCCAUGUGAUUAUUGUUCCAGAAGAAUUGUGUGAGUGUGAAGACUGCAGGGAGAUGGAGGCCACUUGAUGAAGAGCCUUGAGCCCACCCCUUAAAGGAACAAGGCGCGUUUCUCCCAAGGCCCCGACAGCUGGCUCCUCCAGCUCCAGCCCA